UAUGAUCCAGAGUACCACGGGACACGUGAAACCCUGUGGGAAGCAGGAGGGACCACCCUCCAAGGCUAAAUACUACCUAGUGACCGAUAGCGUAUAGUACCGUGAGGGAAAGGUGAAAAGAACCCCGGGAGGGGAGUGAAAUAGAACCUGAAACCCUGCACUUACAAGCUGUGGAAGCACAUUUCUUGUGUGACCGCGUACUUUUUGUAGAACGGGCCAACGAGUUACGUUAAGUAGCAAGGUUAAGCACUUAAGGUGUGGAGCCGUAGCGAAAGCGAGUUUUAACUGAGCGUUCAGUUACUUGACGUAGACCCGAAACCGGGCGACCUACCCAUGAGCAGGAUGAAGCGAAAGUAAAAUUUCGUGGAGGUCCGAACCCACGAGCGUUGAAAAGCUCGGGGAUGACUUGUGGGUAGCGGUGAAAUUCCAAUCGAGCCCGGAGAUAGCUGGUUCUCCCCGAAAUAGCUUUAGGGCUAGCCUCAAGGUGAGAGAUACGGAGGUAGAGCACUGAAUGUCCUAGGGGGUAUUGCACCUACCGAAGACUAUCAAACUCCGAAUGCCGUCAUCUUAUACUUGGGAGUCAGACUGUGGGUGAUAAGAUUCAUAGUCGAAAGGGCAACAGCCCAGAUCGUCAGCUAAGGUCCCUAAAUGUAAGUUAAGUGGUAAAGGAUGUGGGAUUGCACAGACAACCAGGAUGUUGGCUUAGAAGCAGCCACUCAUUCAAAGAGUGCGUAAUAGCUCACUGGUCGAGUGAUCCUGCGCCGAAGAUUUCCGGGGCUAAAACUUACUACCGAAGCUACGGCAUCAGUAAUGAUGGGUAGGGGAGCUUCCCAUACGGGUUGAAGCAUGACCGUAAGGACAUGUGGACAGUAUGGGAGUGAGAAUGUUGGCAUGAGUAGCGAGAUGUGGGUGAGAAUCCCACAGGCCGUAAACCCAAGGUUUCCAGGGGAAGGUUCGUCCGCCCUGGGUUAGUCGGGACCUAAGCUGAGGCCGAAAGGCGUAGGUGAUGGACAACAGGUUGAUAUUCCUGUACUACCGAUAACCGUUUGAGAGAAGGGAUGACACAGUAGGAUAAGCUAAGCACACUGUUGGUUAUGUGUGCCCAAGCAUUGAGGCAGUCAAAGUAGGCAAAUCCGCUUUGAUAAUGCUGGGAUGUGAUGGGGAGCGAAAUUUAGUAGCGAAGUAGCUGAUUUCACACUGUCAAGAAAAGUCUCUAUCGAGGUUAAAGGUACCCGUACCGCAAACCGACACAGGUGGGUGAGGAGAGUAUCCUAAGGCCAGCGAGAGAACUGUUGUUAAGGAACUCGGCAAAAUGACCCCGUAACUUAGGGAUAAGGGGUGCCACCAUCAGGUGGCCGCAGAGAAUAGGCCCAAGCGACUGUUUACCAAAAACAUAGGUUUCUGCUAAGUCGCAAGACGAUGUAUAGGAGCUGACGCCUGCCCGGUGCUGGAAGGUUAAGGGGAUCUGUUAGAGCAAUCGAAGCAGUGAACUUAAGCCCCAGUAAACGGCGGCCGUAACUAUAACGGUCCUAAGGUAGCGAAAUUCCUUGUCGGGUAAGUUCCGACCCGCACGAAAGGCGUAACGAUUUGGGCACUGUCUCAACAACAGACUCGGUGAAAUUGUAAUUCCGGUGAAGAUGCCGGAUACCUGCGACAGGACGGAAAGACCCCAUGGAGCUUUACUGUAGCUUGACAUUGGGUCUUGGUACUACAUGUACAGGAUAGGUGGGAGGCUUUGAAACCAGGACGCCAGUUUUGGCGGAGCCAUCCUUGGGAUACCACCCUUGUAGUACUGGGACUCUAACCAUAGGCCAUGAAUCUGGUCUUGGGACACUGUCAGGUGGGCAGUUUGACUGGGGCGGUCGCCUCCCAAAAGGUAACGGAGGCGCUCAAAGGUUCUCUCAGUACGGUCGGAAAUCGUACGUAGAGUGUAAAGGCAAAAGAGAGCUUGAUUGCAAGACAUACAGGUCGAGCAAGGAUGAAAAUCGGACUUAGUGAUCCGGUGGUUCUGCGUGGAAGGGCCAUCGCUCAACGGAUAAAAGCUACCCUGGGGAUAACAGGCUUAUCUCCCCCAAGAGUCCACAUCGACGGGGAGGUUUGGCACCUCGAUGUCGGCUCAUCACAUCCUGGGGCUGUAGUAGGUCCCAAGGGUUGGGCUGUUCGCCCAUUAAAGUGGUACGCGAGCUGGGUUCAGAACGUCGUGAGACAGUUCGGUCCCUAUCCGUCGCAGGCGUAGGAAAUUUGAGAAGACCUGUCCUUAGUACGAGAGGACCGGGAUGGACGUACCUCUGGUGUACCAGUUGUCCUGCCAAGGGCAUGGCUGGGUAGCUAUGUACGGAAUGGAUAAGCGCUGAAAGCAUCUAAGCGCGAAGCCAACUUCAAGAUAAGAUUUCCCACCGCAAGGGUAAGACCCCAGAAAGACUAUCUGGUUGAUAGGUCGAAGGUGUAAGUGCAGCAAUGUAUUUAGCUUAUCGAUACUAAUAGGUCGAGGACUUGACCAAU
RNAcentral lists this ribosomal RNA (2502 nucleotides) under Clostridioides difficile. RNAcentral describes it as "partial 23S ribosomal RNA". It matches the Rfam family "Bacterial large subunit ribosomal RNA", at positions 401 to 2925 of the family's 2925-position model. Lineage: Bacteria; Bacillati; Bacillota; Clostridia; Peptostreptococcales; Peptostreptococcaceae. The record is from RNAcentral.